CCGAGAAACACGUGGUUGUGUCUGAGGCAGUCACUGUUCACUGGACUCGCCUCCCUGCCAUCUUGGUCUGAGGUACUUCCAAGUCGGCUGUUGAUAUUUUCGUCUCUCAACAAACACUCCUCAUCUGGAGGCUAAGCAAUAACCUCUCGGAAAAAGGGUCAACUGGUUCGACGGAGAGGAAACCUAGGCUUACCUAGCAGUCCACACAUCGUGCAGUCUGCACCUGAUUCCGAAUCUCGCCUCGUCUUCUCACAAGACUUUCAGAACCAAGUGAUUCCUGGACCAAAAACAAGAGUAAAAUCGUCCUACUCCUCAUGGAUUCAGAUUAAAACUGGUAACAAAAUCAGGUACAACUCUAAGAGAAGACAGCAUAGGAGAACGAAGCUGGGUCUGUAAGGAUUCACACAGUGGCAAGACUGAAGGUUUAAACUGAAUUAUCAUCAUCAAUCAGUUCUACCAGAUGCAGUUUAACAUUUUUAACCUGGAGACUUGCUCAAGUCUAAAUUGGAGGUGUAGUUUGUCCAGUGAUAAAAUGUAGAACCUUUCAAAAAAAAAGUCUGAAAAUAGAUUUUCCACAUGACCAAUAUAUAGCACAAUUUAGUAUUUAUUCAAAAGACUCAAACCCCACAUGUCACAGAGAUGCUUGUACAUCAGUGCUUAUUGUAGCAGUAUUUACAAUAUCUAACUACGGAACCAACCCAGGUAAUGAACAACAGAAGAUGGAUAAGCAGAAUGCAGUAUCUAUUUAUAAUACUACUCUAAUAUAAUGCUACUAUAGUGUAAUGCUACUUUAAGAUGUAUAGUGGAAUCUUUUUUCCAUAAAGAAUGCAGUCAUGCCAUUUGCAGGUGAAUGGAUGAAACUGGGAAUAAUCACAUUAAAAGAAUUCCUUAGCAUCUGCCCAAAGGACUUGACAUCACAUUCCAUAGACACUUGCUCAGCCAUCUUCGUUGCUACCUUUCUAUUCAUAACACCUAAAAAAUGGAAACAACCUCAGUGAAAAAUGGAAUUUGUAAGUAAAUAAAGGAAGCUGAUAAGUAUUGUAAUAAGUGAGGUAACCCAGGCCCAGAAACAUAAAGGCAGCGUGUUUUCUCUUGUUCGUGGAUCCAAGCUUCCAGCCUUUGGAUUUGAGUAUAAAACUGGAAGUAUCCAAGGAAGCCAGGGAAAAGGGACCUUGAAGAAAGAGAGUAAAGGAAACCUAGAGAGGGCUGGUAGGAGACAGGCACUGUGCAGGGGUAAUGGGGAUAAAGAAGACCUUUAAAGGUGUGGGGAAGGGAGCUACAGAGGGAUAGAGAAGAAGAAACAAAUAACACUAAAGAUGUUUGAAAGCUAUAGAGAGACAUUAUUUUAGAAGCUUACUUAAAUACAUGUGUGUUCAUAUUCAUACAUGCACACAUAUGUGUGUGCAUAUUCAGACAUGCCUAUACAUAUACAUAAAUGCAUAUGUACAUACAUACAUAUAUGCAUACAUGGCACAUGGAGUUUUUGGUGCUCUCUGUAAGGCCCAGUCACUAAUCAAAAUCUCACUACCAGACAUGGGAAAUCUUCCUUUGAAUUGAAGGUUGGAAGAAUACAAGAGACUCCUAAAAUAGUAUUUCUUAACCAUUUGGGAGCCAAAUGACCUUUUCACAGGGGUUGGCCAAGACCAUC
Molecule: long non-coding RNA, 1648 nt
Organism: Mus musculus (house mouse)
Lineage: Eukaryota; Metazoa; Chordata; Mammalia; Rodentia; Muridae
Product: predicted gene, 31276
Exons: 3
Source: RefSeq, a predicted model, not a curated record